UACCCUUUUAUGGUGCAAUGGGCAUCGCCCUCAAACUACACACCUCUUUAUUCAAAGGGAAAACCCGAUGAGUUGGAGUACAUGGUUCAGAGAAUGAAGACCGUGUCCUUGAAACAUAAAGAAGCAAAGGUGCCAAACGAAAGCAGAAUCAUGGUGUGGAAGUAGUCUUUAUUAUUUUAUCUGUGAUUUUAUUUCUGGAUGUUAGAAAAUUAGUCUUCAAUAUUAGUGAGAUGAAUAUGUGAAAUAGGUAUCUAAAAAGAUAAAGCCAGUUUAAGAUAUAUGUUUUUGUUAAUUCUUGGCUAUUUGUAUUGUUUUCUUAUAAUUUUAAUUGGUUCUAAUUUUCAAGUCCACGUAUCACAUAGAUAUCUUAGAAAAUGAAGCCAUUUUGAGAUAUAUGUUUUUGUUAAUUCUUGGCUAUUUGUAUUGCNACAAAAGCACUGACAAUAAAAGAGCCAUAAGACUACACAGGCUACAACAGGACAGCACAAUAACUCAGAGAGCUUACAUAUUAAAAUAUAAAAUUAUGAAGUUCAUAAUCAAGUCUAGCAGCUAAUGAAUAUGGCAUUUGUACUCAAUUUGCUAUGCAUCUCCACCCUGAUUUGCUUGAUUGAACUGGCAGACAUAAGACAUCUGAUUGCUGACGCUUAAAUUGUAAUACAGGUACCCUUUUAUGGUGCAAUGGGCAUCGCCCUCAAACUACACACCUCUUUAUUCAAAGGGAAAACCAGAUGAGUUGGAGUACAUGGUUCAGAGAAUGAAGACCGUGUCCUUGAAACAUAAAGAAGCAAAGGUGCCAAACGAAAGCAGAAUCAUGGUGUGGAAGUAGUCUUUAUUAUUUUAUCUGUGAUUUUAUUUCUGGAUGUUAGAAAAUUAGUCUUCAAUAUUAGUGAGAUGAAUAUGUGAAAUAGGUAUCUAAAAAGAUAAAGCCAGUUUAAGAUAUAUGUUUUUGUUAAUUCUUGGCUAUUUGUAUUGUUUUCUUAUAAUUUUAAUUGGUUCUAAUUUUCAA
RNAcentral lists this long non-coding RNA (1006 nucleotides) under Daucus carota (carrot). RNAcentral describes it as "long non-coding RNA (DCAR_LNC005995)". The record is from RNAcentral. Lineage: Eukaryota; Viridiplantae; Streptophyta; Magnoliopsida; Apiales; Apiaceae.